Molecule: ribosomal RNA, 480 nt
Filed under: Dactylocerca rubra
Lineage: Eukaryota; Metazoa; Arthropoda; Insecta; Embioptera; Anisembiidae
Description: partial 16S ribosomal RNA
Rfam family: Bacterial large subunit ribosomal RNA
Source: RNAcentral
GGUUUUUAGAGUUAGUUAAAGAUUGGUUCUGCUCAGUGAAAUCUUAAAUAGCUGCGGUAAUUUGACUGUGCAAAGGUAGCAUAAUCAAUAGUUUUUUAAUUGAAAACUGGAAUGAAUGAAUUGACGGUUAAAUAUUGUUUUAUUAAUAGAAUGUUGAAGUUGACUUUUAAGUAAAAAGGCUUAAGAGAUUUCAAGGGACGAGAAGACCCUAUAGAACUUAAAUGGAUUUAUAGAUAAAUUAGAUAAAUUUUAGCUGGGGUGGUUGUGAGAAGAAUUAAACUUUUACGGAUAAAAGUCAAUGAUUGUUGAUAGAAUAAAUGAUUUUUUAGAAUAAAAGAUAAAGUUACCUUAGGGAUAACAGCAUAAUUUUUUUAGAGAGUUCUUAUUGAUAAAAGAGUUUGUGACCUCGAUGUUGAAUUAAGAUAAAAUUUUGGUGAAGAAGUUAAAUUUUUGAGUCUGUUCGACUUUUAAAAUCUUACA